AUAUUGUGAUUAGGACACCUUCGUAGUAACAAUUUAAACCUCUCCCAUGCGUCAUACAAGGAUUUUGUUUCUUGUUUCUCAAAAUUGGAAAUCUCAGCCCUUCAUUC
This is a small nucleolar RNA of Lathyrus oleraceus (garden pea), 107 nucleotides long. Lineage: Eukaryota; Viridiplantae; Streptophyta; Magnoliopsida; Fabales; Fabaceae. The record is from RefSeq and is a predicted model, not a curated record.